Molecule: long non-coding RNA, 1253 nt
Filed under: Monodelphis domestica (gray short-tailed opossum)
Lineage: Eukaryota; Metazoa; Chordata; Mammalia; Didelphimorphia; Didelphidae
Description: lncRNA (ENSMODG00000047200.1)
Source: RNAcentral
GAAACACAGAUGAGGCAACAAGUUCAUUAUAUUUCUCCCAGGAUAGAAAGAUUUAGAACUGGAAAGAAUCUUUAUAUAUCAUUUGCUCUGACAACUUUAUAGACUGAAGAAAAAUAAAUCCCAAGAAGCUUUAGUGUCACAUCCAAUACCACAGUGGUAAAAAAACAAUAGCUGAGAUUCAAACCCAGGUCCUUGCGUCACUGAGAAAGCUUUCUCUCCACUGGACAAACACUUACACAAGGGUGAAAGGCAUCAUGACUUAGAGACACAUAGAGAACUUGAGUUCAAUUUCCAAUUCUCCCACUAUGCUUUCUUGAGCAGAUCAAUCAAUAGAUCUAGACCUUGGUUUCCUUAGGUUUUAAAUGAGAAGAUUGGGAUAGGUGGCCUCUAAGCUUCUUUUUGAGCUCUGGAUCAAUUAUUCUAUAUAACAUUCUGCGUCUCCACACCAACAGGCUGAAUAAACACAAUGAAUGAACAACCAGGAGGAUAUCAUGUACUUUGAAGACAAACACACAGGACUCCACUCCUCAAAGAAGUCUUCACAAGAGUCUAUUUCAAGGACCCUUUAACAUCACAACUACUGUGAGUCACAGUGUCAAGUACCCCCUCCAUCUACCUGAAACAGAUCCUUAAGACCAAUCUGAACAAUGGAGCCAUCUAAGAUUCCUAUUCAAAGAAACCAUCUCCACUGCUCAUUAAAUUCAAUUAAGUACUUACAAUGAUGUACAAAAUACUCUGCUGUGCUGUGUACAAGGUAAUAGAAAGAUGGGGAAAAAAAACCCAGUUUCUCUUCAUAGUGGCCACCCUGUCAAACACAUAUGUCAGGAUUUUAAGAGGAGAAACAAUGGAUGGUGAAAAUAAUAAGCUAGUGUAGAAAGAAAGAAGAGAGUUGGACUUACUAUUUCAAAAACUGGUGUGAGUAAGAACACUAUUAUUCAAACAUGGAAAAAGAAGCGAGGAAAACAGGCAUCAGAUGAAUCUCAUUCUUAUAUGAGCUAGAAAAAGGAGAGUUGAACACGUAAAGAGUUUGAUGUAGGACUAUAUCAAACCCAAACAUAGUUUGUGAAGGGGCUAGAGGGAGAUGGUGUUAGGAGGAAAGAAAAUGGCAGGAAAUUAAAGCAAAGCAAAAUUCCUAACCUCGAAGGGAAGACAAAGAAGAGGAAAAAAAAGAAGAGAGAAAACAAAAUAGAAAAGAACUAGAAAGUAAAUGGGUUUCCAUCAAAUGGGAGGGAUGACAAUAAAUUGUGGUAUAU